GAGUGCUUGCACUCGCUGACGACCGGCGCACGGGUGCGUAACGCGUAUAGAACUUACCUUUUACAUAGGGAUAGCCUUUAGAAAUGAAGAUUAAUACCUUAUAGUAUUAAGACUUGGCAUCAAGACUUAAUUAAAGAUUUAUCGGUAAAAGAUGGCUAUGCGUCCUAUUAGUUAGUUGGUAAGGUAACGGCUUACCAAGACAGCGAUAGGUAGGGGUCCUGAGAGGGAGAUCCCCCACACUGGUACUGAGACACGGACCAGACUCCUACGGGAGGCAGCAGUGAGGAAUAUUGGGCAAUGGAGGCAACUCUGACCCAGCCAUGCCGCGUGCAGGAAGACGGCCCUAUGGGUUGUAAACUGCUUUUAUACAGGAAGAAACCCUGCUACGUGUAGCAGCUUGACGGUACUGUAAGAAUAAGGACCGGCUAACUCCGUGCCAGCAGCCGCGGUAAUACGGAGGGUCCGAGCGUUAUCCGGAAUCAUUGGGUUUAAAGGGUCCGCAGGCGGUCAAUUAAGUCA
This 519-nucleotide ribosomal RNA is filed under the name uncultured Polaribacter sp. RNAcentral's name for it is "bacterial SSU rRNA". It matches the Rfam family "Bacterial small subunit ribosomal RNA", at positions 74 to 590 of the family's 1533-position model. Lineage: Bacteria; Pseudomonadati; Bacteroidota; Flavobacteriia; Flavobacteriales; Flavobacteriaceae. The record is from RNAcentral.